GCAUCCGUAGCUGAGCUGGAUAGAGUACUAGGAUACGAACCGAGCGGUCGGAGGUUCGAAUCCUCCCGGAUGCACCA
This 77-nucleotide transfer RNA is filed under the name Escherichia coli. RNAcentral describes it as "tRNA-Arg". It matches the Rfam family "tRNA". Rfam says of the family: Transfer RNA (tRNA) molecules are approximately 80 nucleotides in length. Their secondary structure includes four short double-helical elements and three loops (D, anti-codon, and T loops). Lineage: Bacteria; Pseudomonadati; Pseudomonadota; Gammaproteobacteria; Enterobacterales; Enterobacteriaceae. The record is from RNAcentral.